UACGUAGGGGGCAAGCGUUAUCCGGAUUUACUGGGUGUAAAGGGAGCGCAGGCGGCACGGCAAGCCUGAUGUGAAAGCCCGCGGCCCAACCGCAGGACUGCAUUGGGAACUACCGGGCUGGAGUGCCGGAGAGGUAGGCGGAAUUCCUAGUGUAGCGGUGAAAUGCGUAGAUAUUAGGAGGAACACCAGUGGCGAAGGCGGCCUACUGGACGGUGACUGACGCUGAGGCUCGAAAGCGUGGGGAGCAAACAGG
Molecule: ribosomal RNA, 253 nt
Filed under: uncultured bacterium
Lineage: Bacteria
Description: partial 16S ribosomal RNA
Rfam family: Bacterial small subunit ribosomal RNA
Source: RNAcentral